ACAGUAAGCCAGAUGAUCGCUCUGAAUCGACACAUGUGUGGAUUCAGAGAGGAAAGUCCGAACACCCGAAAUUGAAGAAGCGUUCCCCGAAGAUCAUGGGAGCAUGCAACUUUUUCAAUAGACCAAGAUAGUUGCUAACAGCAACCGGCUAUACGUUUUCUGAAUAGGGAAGCAAAGGCUAGGGAAAGUACCACAGAGACAAUACCGCUUUGGCGUAUCGCAAGGUUCGUCAGAGUAAGGGUGAAACGUGAGGGAGUAAGACCCCUCUCUCUGCCCAGCGAUGGAGCAGAGUGGUAAACCCUAUCUGGUGCAAGGGCAAAAUAUGGUAGCCCGCAUGACUGAAGCAGUAAUGCCUCAGCAAGAGAGAUGAUCAUCCUGCAAUGUUCAUACAUCGCAUGACAGAAUUCGGCUUAUAGGCUUGCUGGCCCC
Molecule: non-coding RNA, 429 nt
Organism: Candidatus Kerfeldbacteria bacterium
Lineage: Bacteria; Candidatus Kerfeldiibacteriota
Source: Rfam